CAGUCAUACCAACGGGAAAUCAACCUUUUGAGCUCGGUCUCGUGGGUUUUGAAGAGUUUCAAAGCCUUCGGAUUCGCGGGAUUGGGAUCUCUCGGUGUACUUUCUCGUACGGUUAGUCAACAUCGGUUUUGAAUGUCAUAAAAUGACUGGAGGAAUGUAGCUUCGAUCUCGUAUUGAAGUGUUAUAGCCUUUGGUAGAUGUGAUGUUUGAGACCGAGGAUUGCAACGGAUACCCUUCAGGGCUAUUCGUCUGAUCUCUGAUACGUUGCCCUGAUGUUGAAAGCUUGCUUAUGAUGUUAGGGUAUUACGGUCAAAAGGUUAGAACGAAUUACAUUCGUUAAGGACGUUGACGUAAUGACUUUAAACGA
This 367-nucleotide ribosomal RNA is filed under the name uncultured Glomeraceae. Its description in RNAcentral is "partial large subunit ribosomal RNA". Lineage: Eukaryota; Fungi; Glomeromycota; Glomeromycetes; Glomerales; Glomeraceae. The record is from RNAcentral.